CAGUCGCCGCGGUAAUACGAAGGUCCCGAGCGUUGUUCGGAAUCACUGGGCGUAAAGGGAGCGUAGGCGGCGUGGUAAGUCAGAUGUGAAAUCCCGGGGCUCAACCCCGGAACUGCAUCCGAUACUGCCGUGCUAGAGGAUUGGAGAGGUAGCUGGAAUUCUUGGUGUAGCAGUGAAAUGCGUGGAGAUCAAGAGGAACACUCGUGGCGAAAGCGAGCUACUGGACAAUAUCUGACGCUGAGGCUCGAAGGCCAGGGUAGCGAAAGGGAUUAGAUACCCCAGUAGUCCCUGUCUCUUAUAC
This 301-nucleotide ribosomal RNA is filed under the name uncultured bacterium. Its description in RNAcentral is "partial 16S ribosomal RNA". It matches the Rfam family "Bacterial small subunit ribosomal RNA", at positions 509 to 807 of the family's 1533-position model. The record is from RNAcentral.